Molecule: long non-coding RNA, 529 nt
Filed under: Gossypium barbadense (sea-island cotton)
Lineage: Eukaryota; Viridiplantae; Streptophyta; Magnoliopsida; Malvales; Malvaceae
Description: long non-coding RNA (GBAR_LNC021921)
Source: RNAcentral
GGGGAUCAACUUUAAGCCCUCUUUUUCACAGCCGACGAAGGUCCAUUGCCAAUGGAUGGAGCAGCCUUGCUCGAUUGUCCAACCACCCCUCGCACUAUAGCCAGAACCCCUAAUGGAAGAAACGGUGGAUAAUACAUGGCCAUCAAAUUGGCUGAUGCCUUCUGGGAAUUGAGAAUGUCUCCCACCAUAGCUGUCUGAAUUCAGAACGGAAUUCAAAUAUAAGUAUAACGGAAGGGAUCAUGUUUAUAAAAUUAAUUUGCAUACUAAAGAAAGAAAGAAAAUUAUUUUAGUUACCGUAGAGGCAACGAUAGAGGCACCAAAGAGGAGGCAGGUGGUGUUGAACCAGGGCUUAGAGUAUAACAACCCAUAGAUGUUAAGCAAAGCGAGAGGGAGUUGGUAAACAAGUUCCAACGUCAUAAGUGCCUUGAAAAAAGCAGGCUGCUCAAGCACCAAAUAAUCUUGGGUUAACGUGGUAUAAACUUGAUAGAAGGGAUUGUAGGCGUGGGGGAGGAUGGACUCGGGGAUGUCC